RNAcentral lists this long non-coding RNA (232 nucleotides) under Mytilus galloprovincialis (Mediterranean mussel). Lineage: Eukaryota; Metazoa; Mollusca; Bivalvia; Mytilida; Mytilidae. The record is from RNAcentral.
CUCGCACUUUUACUUUCAAUAUCGACAAAUGAUCGACCUACCUUGGAGCAUUUGCUCCAAUUUCUUUCUGUCAACACGAAAUCUCUCCUCGAUAUAUCCAGGUUCAAGUUCAUCUUUAAUAUCCUGAUUGUUUUCAUCACAUAUAUCCGUUGGAGACUCGUUAAUACUUCUUGAAUCCUUCAUGUUAUCCGAGCACAACGAUAAGUGAUCUGCCAUUGCAUCUCUGCUGUUG